RNAcentral lists this ribosomal RNA (229 nucleotides) under uncultured bacterium. Its description in RNAcentral is "partial 16S ribosomal RNA". It matches the Rfam family "Bacterial small subunit ribosomal RNA", at positions 568 to 796 of the family's 1533-position model. The record is from RNAcentral.
UGCGUAGGCGGAAUGAUAAGUUAGUGGUGAAAGCCCCCGGCUCAACCGGGGAACUGCCAUUAUUACUGUCAUUCUUGAGUAUAGUUGAAGUGGGCGGAAUGUAUCAUGUAGCGGUGAAAUGCUUAGAUAUGAUACAGAACACCGAUAGCGUAGGCAGCUUGCUAAACUAUAACUGACGCUCAGACACGAAAGCGUGGGGAGCAAACAGGAUUAGAUACCCUGGUAGUCC